RNAcentral lists this ribosomal RNA (487 nucleotides) under uncultured bacterium. Its description in RNAcentral is "partial 16S ribosomal RNA". It matches the Rfam family "Bacterial small subunit ribosomal RNA", at positions 28 to 507 of the family's 1533-position model. The record is from RNAcentral.
GAUGAACGCUAGCGAUAGGCUUAACACAUGCAAGUCGAGGGGCAGCACAAGGUAGCUUGCUAUCUGGGUGGCGACCGGCGCACGGGUGCGUAACGCGUAUGCAACUUGCCCUAUACAGGAGGAUAACCCGUCGAAAGACGGACUAAUACUGCGUAUGCUCACAACUUGGCAUCAAGUGGUGAGGAAAGAAAUUCGGUAUAGGAUAGGCAUGCGUCCCAUUAGCUUGUUGGUGAGGUAACGGCUCACCAAGGCAACGAUGGGUAGGGGAACUGAGAGGUUUAUCCCCCAAACUGGUACUGAGACACGGACCAGACUCCUACGGGAGGCAGCAGUGAGGAAUAUUGGUCAAUGGGCGCGAGCCUGAACCAGCCAAGUCGCGUGAAGGAUGACUGUCUUAUGGAUUGUAAACUUCUUUUAUACGGGAAUAACAAGAGUCACGUGUGACUCCCUGCAUGUACCGUAUGAAUAAGCAUCGGCUAACUCCGUG